Molecule: long non-coding RNA, 192 nt
Organism: Bufo bufo (common toad)
Lineage: Eukaryota; Metazoa; Chordata; Amphibia; Anura; Bufonidae
Exons: 3
Source: RefSeq, a predicted model, not a curated record
AAAGGGAAUCUGUCACCUGGUUUGAGCAUAUUAAGGUGUUACUACUUCCAUGUACAAUACGAUACCUUAUUUCUUGAUGUAGUCUUCAUUUUAUGUUUCAUUGUUUCAUUAGCGAUAAAAUCCACUUUUUAUGUUAUGCAAAUGAGUGUCCAAGGUGCCCAGAGGGGCAGCAGUGACAGAUUCCCUUUAAGG